ACCUUUCCUCCCUUAACUGGGUGCUGUAGCUCAGCAACAAGAAAAGCAACUAAGACAAAGGUCGGGACCAUUAAGCAUAAAACUAAGGCUCCACUCAGCCACUUCUCCCUUUCUGGAGAUAACUAUUAUCUUGAAGUUGAUGUCUGCCAUAUCUGGAGGCUGAAGAGUCUGCACUGGAAGCCAAGAGACGACAUCCCAGGUGAAGGUGAAGACUGGAGCUCCUGUGAAGAAACAGAAGCUAGCCCUCUUUCUUCAUUGUCCUUUUAUCCCAGUCAGGCCACAAGCCUACCCAGGCUGGGUCUUCUGUCUUCAGUAAAUACCCUCAGCCACACCCAGAACUACACUGAUCCAAUUUAGUUAGGUGUUUCUUACUCAAGUUGACAUAAUCAGUUAACUGUCACAGAAACUAAAAGAGAACAAAAAGGCCAAAAAGGGAGGAAAAAAAACCCCUAUGCCUCCUAAAAUCUCAAUGAAGGAAAAGAGAAAAAUAAAAACAUAGUAAAAGUUUUUUUAAAA
RNAcentral lists this long non-coding RNA (516 nucleotides) under Chinchilla lanigera (long-tailed chinchilla). RNAcentral's name for it is "lncRNA (ENSCLAG00000025039.1)". The record is from RNAcentral. Lineage: Eukaryota; Metazoa; Chordata; Mammalia; Rodentia; Chinchillidae.